GAACUGCGAUAAGUAAUGUGAAUUGCAGAAUUCAGUGAAUCAUCGAGUCUUUGAACGCACAUUGCGCCCCCUGGCAUUCCGGGGGGCAUGCCUGUCCGAGCGUCAUUGCUGCCCUUCAAGCCCGGCUUGUGUGUUGGGUCGUCGUCCCCUCCGGGGGACGGGCCCGAAAGGCAGCGGCGGCACCGCGUCCGGUCCUCGAGCGUAUGGGGCUUUGUCACCCGCUCGAUAAGGACCGGCCGGGCGUCAGCCGGCGUCUCCAACCUUUUUUUCUCAGGUUGACCUCGGAUCAGGUAGGGAUACCCGCUGAACUUAAGA
Molecule: unclassified non-coding RNA, 315 nt
Filed under: plant metagenome
Description: partial contains 5.8S ribosomal RNA, internal transcribed spacer 2, and large subunit ribosomal RNA
Rfam family: 5.8S ribosomal RNA (bases 1-105)
Source: RNAcentral